CGGUAGUUCAGUUUGGUUAGAAUGCCUGCCUGUCACGCAGGAGGUCGAGGGUUCGAGUCCCUUCCG
This 66-nucleotide transfer RNA is filed under the name marine eukaryotic metagenome. It matches the Rfam family "tRNA", at positions 5 to 66 of the family's 71-position model. Rfam says of the family: Transfer RNA (tRNA) molecules are approximately 80 nucleotides in length. Their secondary structure includes four short double-helical elements and three loops (D, anti-codon, and T loops). The record is from RNAcentral.